AAGGGGCUUGAAUUUUUGAGCUCUCCCUGUAGAUUUUGCAGUGAUGUAGUGUCCCCAUGAGUGACAGAACACUGAGCCAAUCACGGUGCAACUAAAGAACAUUACCAACCUCUACGCUCCAUAUUUUCCGUUGGCUGCUCCACCACCACAGAAAGCACUGAGCUAGGCUGAAACACCUGCAUUUUGAAGCUGCCUUACUCAAGAAAGCAAAAAGAGACCAUGUCUGUAUGCAGCUUUAUUUUUUUUUACAUUGUUUGCAAACUGAUUUGUGACCCGUAUUAUGCCAAAAUAACACGCAACCCCCCCCAAAAUAUAUAUAUAUAAAUCAACUAAACAGCUGGGGCUCGCCGCUGUCUGUCAGGGAGACCAGGGAAUCCAUAAAUACAAAGUCAUGCAGCAAUAUCUCUUUAAAUGGGCAUGUGUUGAAUUGACUGACACAUGCCUAUUUUAUAUCUUUGACUUGCGUGGAAUUUAUAUUCAGCUUGGUAACAUUAGGACAUGUCAGAUGAAGAGCAGGAUAAUCAAACAGAUUAGCGCAACAUUGUCGAAAACACUUUUAAAUCUGCUGGAUGUGCAAAAAACAAAACAAUUGACCUGUUCACACAUUAGGCAGCCGAUAUAUGAUCUGAAAGCUUGUCAGACAUCAAACUGCAGGAUGUGGUAUGGUACGUCGCUGUUAGUAUCACUGAGUCACAUAGAAAGAGUCUUUCUGUUAACAUAGACAAUUCCCAUAACAAUCGGAAGUGGAGACACAAAAGAAGAGAAAAACAGACAUUUUGUGAGAAAGAGCUCAUGAGAACAGUAGCCUACAAAUGCACAGAAUUGCACACUAUUUAAUUGCACUGAUGUUUCUGUAAGAUGCAAUGAACAGAAAUGCACAACUACCAACUUGGCAAAUAAACGCAAAUAAUGGAUUGCUCAGACAGACGUCUGAAAAUAUAUCUGAAAUCUAGCCAAAAAUAGUAUUUCAAGAACAUUCCAUUUGUGAGAACAGACAGUAGACCUAACUACGUAGACACUCUAAAGGUAAAUUAUUACCGCAAUUGCAGAAUAACUUCUUCCAUUCCCUUCAAUGUUACAGUAUCCCUUUAAAGUCGACAUGGCCCGGAGAGCUGCUGGGGUGGAUGAACUGUGGGUCAGCAGUAGGCCUGUGCUGUGGACACACAUGCUGGUGGUGGUGAUGGUGGUGUCUUCUAUUGUCCCUGGCUGUGGCAAAUAUAAGAGAAACAUUGGCUUACCCGUGUGCAUCGCCACAUCAGAGCUCCAAUGAAGAGGAAGAAGAUGACGAUGAAGGCCGUCCAACUCAGCACAAUCAAGAUGAGUUCCAUGAUGGUCUGACCGCCGCCACAGCCCUUCUCUGGAUCUCUCUCUGUAUGGAGGGGAGAGGGAAUUAGAAGAAGUGGUUCAGCUUCAUGUCUUCUUGAAAAACUCUGGGCCUUAUUGCCCUUUGACUCUGACCCAGAGUUUUUCCUGGGCUGGUCAACUGCUCAGGGAAAACUCAUUCAAAAGAAAUUCAAAGGAAUAUGGUGAGUCCGUAUUGCACAUAUUGGAACACAAUACCUAACAUCUUGUGCACUAAUCAUGAUCAUAGCUAGUACUAGCCACAUUAAAACCACUUACAUCAGUUGUGGUAUGUCGUUGAAAUUGCAGAGAUCGAUAUUUUCACACCGCAUCAUAAAAAAGUGUGUAACAGACAGUUCUAGAAUAAUGAUUGGAUACCAAUUCUUUGUUAAUCCAGGAAGAGGAAGACAAUCUGAAUGAAAAAUGGAAUUCACUCUAACCCUGAUGAAUAACAUUUCUUCUUCUUUAAUAAAAAAAAAAAUAUUUGUACCUCUGA
Molecule: long non-coding RNA, 1837 nt
Organism: Salvelinus namaycush (lake trout)
Lineage: Eukaryota; Metazoa; Chordata; Actinopteri; Salmoniformes; Salmonidae
Exons: 2
Source: RefSeq, a predicted model, not a curated record